GAAUUCGCCCUUAGAGUUUGAUCCUGGCUCAGGAUGAACGCUGGCGGCGUGCAUAACACAUUCAAGUCGAACGGAGCUUAAGACUUCGGUUUUAAGCUUAGUGGCGGACGGGUGAGUAACGCGUGAGCAAUCUGCCUUUCGGUGGGGAAUAACAGGGAGAAAUCGCUGCUAAUACCUCAUAACGUAGCGGUGUCGCAUGGCACAGCUACCAAAGAUUUAUCGCCGAAAGAUGAGCUCGCGUCCGAUUAGGUAGUUGGUGAGAUAAAAGCCCACCAAGCCGACGAUCGGUAGCCGAACUGAGAGGUUGAACGGCCACAUUGGAACUGAGAUACGGUCCAGACUCCUACGGGAGGCAGCAGUGGGGAAUAUUGGGCAAUGGGCGCAAGCCUGACCCAGCGACGCCGUGUGAGGGAAGAAGGUCUUCGGAUUGUAAACCUUUGUCAACAGGGACGAAACAAAUGACGGUACCUGUGGAGGAAGCCACGGCUAACUACGUGCCAGCAGCCGCGGUAAUACGUAGGUGGCGAGCGUUAUCCGGAUUUACUGGGUGUAAAGGGUGUGUAGGCGGGAUAGCAAGUCAGGGGUGAAAACUAUGGGCUUAACCCAUAGACUGCAGUUGAAACUGUAGUUCUUGAGUGAAGUAGAGGUAGGCGGAAUUCCGAGUGUAGCGGUGAAAUGCGUAGAUAUUCGGAGGAACACCAGUGGCGAAGGCGGCCUACUGGGCUUUAACUGACGCUGAGGCUCGAAAGUGUGGGGAGCAAACAGGAUUAGAUACCCUGGUAGUCCACACUGUAAACGAUGAUUGCUAGGUGUGGGGGGUCUGACCCCUUCCGUGCCGGAGUUAACGCAAUAAGCAAUCCACCUGGGGAGUACGGCCGCAAGGUUGAAACUCAAAGGAAUUGACGGGGGCCCGCACAAGCAGUGGAUUAUGUGGUUUAAUUCGAAGCAACGCGAAGAACCUUACCAGGUCUUGACAUCCCGCUGACCGGCCUAGAGAUAGGCUUUUCCCUUCGGGGACAGCGGUGACAGGUGGUGCAUGGUUGUCGUCAGCUCGUGUCGUGAGAUGUUGGGUUAAGUCCCGCAACGAGCGCAACCCUUGAUCUUAGUUGCCAGCAUUUAGUUGGGCACUCUAAGGUGACUGCCGGUGAUAAACCGGAGGAAGGUGGGGAUGACGUCAAAUCAUCAUGCCCCUUAUGACCUGGGCUACACACGUGCUACAAUGGACGGUACAGAGGGUCGCAACCCCGCGAGGGUGAGCAAAUCCCAUAAAACCGUUCUCAGUUCGGAUUGUAGGCUGCAACUCGCCUACAUGAAGCCGGAAUCGCUAGUAAUCGUGGAUCAGCAUGCCACGGUGAAUACGUUCCCGGGCCUUGUACACACCGCCCGUCA
This 1389-nucleotide ribosomal RNA is filed under the name uncultured bacterium. RNAcentral describes it as "partial 16S ribosomal RNA". It matches the Rfam family "Bacterial small subunit ribosomal RNA". The record is from RNAcentral.